RNAcentral lists this ribosomal RNA (133 nucleotides) under uncultured bacterium. RNAcentral describes it as "partial 16S ribosomal RNA". It matches the Rfam family "Bacterial small subunit ribosomal RNA", at positions 1360 to 1501 of the family's 1533-position model. The record is from RNAcentral.
CGGUGAAUACGUUCCCGGACCUUGCACACACCGCCCGUCAAGCCAUGGAAGCUGGGUGUACCUAAAGUCGGUAACCGUAAGGAGCCGCCUAGGGUAAAACUAGUGACUGGGGCUAAGUCGUAACAAGGUACCC